GACGAACGCUGGCGGCGUGCUUAACACAUGCAAGUCGAACGGAAAGGCCCUGCUUUUGUGGGGUUCUCGAUUGGCGAACGGGUGAGUAACACGUGAGUAACCUGCCCUUGACUUUGGGAUAACUUCAGGAAACUGGGGCUAAUACCGGAUAGGAGCUCCUGCUCCAUGGUGGGGGUUGGAAAUUUUCGGCGGUUGGGGAUGGACUCGCGGCUUAUCAGCUUGUUGGUGGGGUAGUGGCUUACCAAGGCUUUGACGGGUAGCCGGCCUGAGAGGGUGACCGGCGACAUUGGGACUGAGAUACGGCCCAGACUCCUACGGGAGGCAGCAGUGGGGAAUAUUGCACAAUGGGCGGAAGCCUGAUGCAGCAACGCCGCGUGCGGGAUGACGGCCUUCGGGUUGUAAACCGCUUUCGCCUGUGACGAAGCGUGAGUGACGGUAAUGGGUAAAGAAGCACCGGCUAACUACGUG
RNAcentral lists this ribosomal RNA (468 nucleotides) under uncultured bacterium. RNAcentral's name for it is "partial 16S ribosomal RNA". It matches the Rfam family "Bacterial small subunit ribosomal RNA", at positions 28 to 507 of the family's 1533-position model. The record is from RNAcentral.